RNAcentral lists this ribosomal RNA (460 nucleotides) under uncultured bacterium. RNAcentral describes it as "partial 16S ribosomal RNA". It matches the Rfam family "Bacterial small subunit ribosomal RNA", at positions 338 to 795 of the family's 1533-position model. The record is from RNAcentral.
CCUACGGGUGGCAGCAGUGAGGAAUAUUGGUCAAUGGGCGGAAGCCUGAACCAGCCAAGUCGCGUGAGGGAUGACUGCCCUAUGGGUUGUAAACUUCUUUUAUAUGGGAAUAAAAUGUUCCACGUGUGGGAUUUUGUAUGUACCAUAUGAAUAAGGAUCGGCUAACUCCGUGCCAGCAGCCGCGGUAAUACGGAGGAUCCGAGCGUUAUCCGGAUUUAUUGGGUUUAAAGGGAGCGUAGGUGGAUUGUUAAGUCAGUUGUGAAAGUUUGCGGCUCAACCGUAAAAUUGCAGUUGAAACUGGCAGUCUGGAGUACAGUAGAGGUGGGCGGAAUUCGUGGUGUAGCGGUGAAAUGCUUAGAUAUCACGAAGAACUCCGAUUGCGAAGGCAGCUCACUGGACUGCAACUGACACUGAGGCUCGAAAGUGUGGGUAUCAAACAGGAUUAGAUACCCCGGUAGUC